UGAAAUUGUUUUAUUUAGGCCCAUUUCCAACUUCUGCCAAACAACUCCUGAUGAAACAGGAGCGAUAAGAGAAAGCAAGGGAAAGAGAGAAAGACAGAUGGAAAAAGAGAGAAUAGAGUAUUGGUAACAAUCCUUCCCUGGAGUUCUUAAUGUGGUUGUAAGUCUCAUUUCAAUUCUGGAAGAUAGACUGAUCUCCUUAAUCGUACCAUUCAUAAAUCAAUGACAUAGUUCACAUUUUGUUACAAGGUCAGAUUCCUAAAUAGGUAAAUCAAUGUGCAGUAAUCCAGUACUCUAAGAAAUAAAUGCAACAUAGAGAUGUUUAUUGAAACAUCAACAGCCAUUACUUGCUUUAAAAAAGAAACGUGGAUGGAAUACUGUCUAACAAUCCAUGGUGCACUACUAUUCAGUGAUUUUUUUUUUAUUGACCAAAAACAAAAUAUAUACCAGAAACUGGACGCAUUGCUGUGUAGAGCUUAUAUUUAUUUGCUCUGGAAUAUAUCAAUAGGUGCUAUACAAUAGCUCGAGAGAUGGAUUGUUGAGCAAGUUACAUUCCAUUUUCUUUUAAUGCUUUUCAUUGUCAGCAAAGACCCCUACAAGCACUUUCAUGUCCUAGUCCGGACAAUUAAUUAAUAUCACUUGUAAAUAAUGAACCUGUAGUUUGGCCAAAUAUUAUUUUUGGACAAACCAAACAUGUAGAAAGUACUCAUAUUGUAUAUCAUCACUUUAACUGGGGGGAUGGGUGCUAUAUGGAUUCAUAACUUAUUGACACAUUGACCUGCAACAGUUUUUCAAAACAAAGUAUUUGUUGGAAAAGAGUGUGGAAAGCGGUCAUCAAGGCAAACUGUGGCUACUUUGGUUACUACAUGAUUUCAUAGGUCUUAUUUCAUAGUUUCAAUGUCUUCACUAUUAUUCUACAUUGUAGAAAAUAGUAAAAAUAAAGAAAAACCCUUGAAUGUGUUGUUCAAACUUUUGACAUGUACUAUAUAGUCUGGCAUUCUCUGAUUUUAUGUAGCAUCAAAAGAUACAAACGUGGUAUGCGACUUUAUUAACUUAAGGAUUUUUUUGUUGUUGAUUGUUUGCAAACUGACAUGUGACACGUAUUAAUGCCAAAAUAACAUGUGAAACAGGCUAUAUAUAUAUAUAGAUCCUUGCCCACAAGGAUCGUCACACCACCUUCCUGUUCAUGUUAGCAGAGCACAAUGUGAGUCCAAAAAUGUAUUGUAUGCUGCUGCAUAAAUUAUGUAAUAUGCCAGGGAGAUAUGUAUACUGUAGCUAAGAAAGUAAUACUAAGUGUAUGUUGUGUAGUAAGCUGUUAGUAGUGCAUGCGCUUCACCCAAAUAAUUUGUUCCCUUUCCCCCUCAUAACUUAGCCUACUGUUCUGACUUGGAGGUGCACAUGUAGCCUAUAGCCUGUUUUAGAGAAAUGUAAUCAUCAAAUAUUGUAAGAGCUUUCAUUGUCUGCUUAAAUGUCCCCUAUAUUUAUCCUACGGUUCUGACUUGGAGUACAGGGAGAAUACUGUAAGAAAGGCCCAUGUUCUGAAUUCUGACGCUGUACAUUUCAAAAGUGCUGAACAAAUAGUUAUAUUGACUAUGUCCAUCCUAGCUCGCUCCAUGGUGCUGAAAAGAAAGCUCUGCUGUCAGGACAGCUUUAAGUAGGUCAGUUUGUGGGCACCAUUUGUCACCGUUAUAAUGCAAUUAAUGUAUUGUUUAGUGUAGUGGAUUUGCUGGUAUGCAUCUAAAAACAUUUUUCAGAGUGUGCCCCACCAAGAUUUAUCUGCAAAAAUCACCACUGAUCAUCACGCACAGCCUAGCCUCUAUAUCCACAAUAAGUCAGUUUGAUGGAAUCUGUCGCCAAUUGGAUGGAAACCUAGCUUGUGUCCGAAAUGGCACCAUAUUCCCUAUAUGGUGCACUACUUGUGUGUGCACUAGGUCAUAUGGUGCUAUUUCAGAUGCAGACAUUUAACUGCAUGUCUAGAUAUUGUCCAUGUGAUAGAAACACUUUGAAACAGUCAUCCUGAACUAAUGAAUAUCACUGGCCAAUCCGAUUCUGGUGAUUGAAGACCAAGGUCAACCCAAUUGACCCAUACAAGAAGGUGGCCAUCAUAGCUAUGGCAGUCUUGAGAAGAGUGAUCUGGAGCGUAUUUUUAUUUUAGUUUACUAGGCAAGUCAGUUAAGAAGAAAUUCUUAUUUUCAAUGACGGCCUAGGAACAGUGGGUUAACUGCCUGUUCAGGGGCAGAACGACAGAUUUGUACCUUGUCAGCUCGGGGAUUCGAACUUGCAACCUUUCGGUUACUAGUCCAACGCUCUAACCACUAGGCUACCCUGCCGCUUUAAGUCACUCAACUCCACAGUCCUAUCUCCGGAACUUUAUGUUCUGUACAUCUGUACAUUCAACGGCCUUGACUCUGGCCUUGGUGUUUGAAGUCAGUAAACAAGGAAGGUAAAAAAUAUUCAGAUUUCAGAUUUCUUGCUGUGAAACCAUUGUCUCUUCUCACAAAAACAAUCACUUUGCGUUAUUCAUCUGGUCAGGUCUUGCAAGCCCCUUGAAGACGUGAAUCUUCCCAGCCCCGGUUAGCUCAAAGUUGUAGUCUAUUGUGACGUAGGGAGGCUCUCCCACAAUUCC
Molecule: long non-coding RNA, 2623 nt
Organism: Oncorhynchus tshawytscha (Chinook salmon)
Lineage: Eukaryota; Metazoa; Chordata; Actinopteri; Salmoniformes; Salmonidae
Source: Ensembl